UAUCAGCAGACAUAAAAUGUUCAUCAUUUUAGAUACAAAAUAUAAAUGGUAUGAGACUCUUUUAACAUCUGACAUGGUCACUUCAUAUAUCUUGGCUUUACUGUCAUCUGGUGUAAUACAUCCUAUGUAGAGUUGUCCUGUUUGAGUGAAUGCAAGAGAAUGUGGGAACAUUAUGUUUAUCUCCCUUGUUUUAUAAGAUGUCAUCAGCAGGCCAGCAUUGUUCAGGAUAUGAAGUGUAUGAUUAUCCCCAUCAGCUACAAUAACAUUGUCUCUAGGUGUUGUCACUAUGCUGUUGGAUAGAAUGGUUCAUCCUUGUUGAUCUCUGUAUGUCCUGUAUAAAUAUUGAUUAUAUCACCACCCUGUCCUAACACUACUACUCUCCAUCUGUAAUCACUUACUUUAUCCACCACAUGAAUAUUCCCAUUGCUUGUACUUGUUAUUCUC
This 444-nucleotide long non-coding RNA is filed under the name Mytilus galloprovincialis (Mediterranean mussel). Lineage: Eukaryota; Metazoa; Mollusca; Bivalvia; Mytilida; Mytilidae. The record is from RNAcentral.